This 696-nucleotide ribosomal RNA is filed under the name Triticum aestivum (bread wheat). Its description in RNAcentral is "partial small subunit ribosomal RNA". The record is from RNAcentral. Lineage: Eukaryota; Viridiplantae; Streptophyta; Magnoliopsida; Poales; Poaceae.
AUGGUGGACGAGUCGCCGCCGCCGACGCACGUCCCAAACCAGUGGGUCGCCUUCUGCACCGACCACUCCUGGUCGCAGCGCGUGCACGGCGUUCUCCUACAUCUCAAUGACACGGGCAUCGCGGCCUUGCUGAGGGACUACCAUUGGGCAGCCUCUUCUUCUCCAUGGUGCUCCAGCAACUGCACAAAGAGGUCAGUUAUCUCGAUUGGUGCCACACAACUCAGGCCGGAGAUGAUGGAAGGAUCUGCACAAGAGGACGUAUCUCUGGACAACCACCAAGUGUUCUCCGUGCUAUGCUACUGCAUGAAUCGCCUCCUGGCCAGGAGGUACCACACACAACUAGAAAUAUACAGCGAAUUCGCUCAGUCUGUGUCACACGACAUCCAUCCCAUCGGUCACGAUAGACACAAGACUACCCCGCAGAUGGAUGUUGCAGCCAGUGGCCAUGACGAGGCUUAUGCCUGCGCGGAGGUGCAGUACCGGAUGCUGAGAGAAAAUGUUACCCACCCGGCUACGAGGAUAACUGGGAGGAGGAAGAACCGAGCCACAUGGGUAACUCGAAGGGAAAAAAAUCAGUGGCGCAACCGUCCAUUUUCUCAUGCCUCCCCUUCUACAGAUACACAACCACUGCCCUUGCUGCUUCUCAACUCCACCUUUGUCCUUGGCACCAUCGGAUUCAUGGAGCAACAAACAUGA